RNAcentral lists this ribosomal RNA (253 nucleotides) under uncultured bacterium. RNAcentral's name for it is "partial 16S ribosomal RNA". It matches the Rfam family "Bacterial small subunit ribosomal RNA", at positions 524 to 776 of the family's 1533-position model. The record is from RNAcentral.
UACGUAGGUGGCAAGCGUUGUCCGGAAUUAUUGGGCGUAAAGGAUGCGUAGGCGGUCCUUUAAGUGGGAUGUGAAAUCCCUGGGCUUAACCCAGGAAUUGCAUUCCAAACUGGAGGACUAGAGUGCAGGAGAGGAAAGUGGAAUUCCCAGUGUAGCGGUGAAAUGCGUAGAGAUUGGGAGGAACACCAGUGGCGAAGGCGGCUUUCUGGACUGUAACUGACGAUGAGGCAUGAAAGCGUGGGGAGCAAACAGG